GCACGGUGCUGUCUUCGGGAUAACAUGGAUCAAACCAAGUCUAAACAUGAGCGCCCAAGCCCAUAAACACUAAAAAUCUAACAGAGUAAGGACCCAUGCCUAAAUCCCUUAACCCGGCAAGAGAACCUUGUCACGUUAUAGAUCGAAAAAAGGACUAGCUCGUCACUUUUGUUGAUUGUCUGGUGAGACUAACCCCAACCGAGGGGAGACUCAUCUCACUGAAGACCGAAGGGGUCCGAAACUCAGCUUAAAGGCCUGACAAAAGAAGUCCCCAAGAAACAUUGCCCAGGGGAAAUGGGAAAGCCAACUCUAAAAACUCCGCACAAAUCAAGCAGAACUAGCAGAACCACUGAGGGACAGAGCUCUAGCCAUUACUCUCAACAUGACUUUGAAGGAUUGGAAGGCCACGAAGCGGCGCCGUAGUUUCCUCGAUGUACUAAUCUCAGAGGAAAUCAUUACUAAAGCACACUGAGCAAUGUUGGGAAGACGCAAACCAUAAGCAGAUCAAAACCACACAUCCCAUCCCUCUUGAAGAAGC
Molecule: unclassified non-coding RNA, 538 nt
Filed under: Hevea brasiliensis (rubber tree)
Lineage: Eukaryota; Viridiplantae; Streptophyta; Magnoliopsida; Malpighiales; Euphorbiaceae
Source: RNAcentral